Molecule: unclassified non-coding RNA, 499 nt
Filed under: uncultured Glomus
Lineage: Eukaryota; Fungi; Glomeromycota; Glomeromycetes; Glomerales; Glomeraceae
Description: SSU rRNA
Rfam family: Eukaryotic small subunit ribosomal RNA
Source: RNAcentral
CCAAUAGCGUAUAUUAAAGUUGUUGCAGUUAAAAAGCUCGUAGUUGAAUUUCGGGAUCAAUUUGUCGGUCGUGCCUCGGUACGUACUGGCAUUAUUGGUUUCUCCCUUCUGACGAACCACGAUGUCAUUAAUUUGGUGUCGCGGGAAAUCAGGACUGUUACUUUGAAAAAAUUAGAGUGUUUAAAGCACGCUCACGCUUGAAUACAUUAGCAUGGAAUAAUGAAAUAGGACGUUUGAUUCUAUUUUGUUGGUUUCUAGGAUCGACGUAAUGAUUAAUAGGGAUAGUUGGGGGCAUUAGUAUUCAAUUGUCAGAGGUGAAAUUCUUGGAUUUAUUGAAGACUAACUACUGCGAAAGCAUUUGCCAAGGAUGUUUUCAUUAAUCAAGAACGAAAGUUAGGGGAUCGAAGACGAUCAGAUACCGUCGUAGUCUUAACCAUAAACUAUGCCGACUAGGGAUCGGAUGAUGUUAAUUUUUUAAUGACUCAUUCGGCGCCUUACG